GACGAACGCUGGCGGCGUGCUUAACACAUGCAAGUCGAACGGAAAGGCCCUGCUUUUGUGGGGUGCUCGAGUGGCGAACGGGUGAGUAACACGUGAGUAACCUGCCCUUGACUUUGGGAUAACUUCAGGAAACUGGGGCUAAUACCGGAUAGGAGCUCCUGCUGCAUGGUGGGGGUUGGAAAGUUUCGGCGGUUGGGGAUGGACUCGCGGCUUAUCAGCUUGUUGGUGGGGUAGUGGCUUACCAAGGCUUUGACGGGUAGCCGGCCUGAGAGGGUGACCGGCCACAUUGGGACUGAGAUACGGCCCAGACUCCUACGGGAGGCAACAGGGGGGAAUAUUGCACAAUGGGCGGAAGCCUGAUGCAGCAACGCCGCGUGCGGGAUGACGGCCUUCGGGUUGUAAACCGCUUUCGCCUGUGACGAAGCGUGAGUGACGGUAAUGGGUAAAGAAGCACCGGCUAACUACGUG
RNAcentral lists this ribosomal RNA (468 nucleotides) under uncultured bacterium. Its description in RNAcentral is "partial 16S ribosomal RNA". It matches the Rfam family "Bacterial small subunit ribosomal RNA", at positions 28 to 507 of the family's 1533-position model. The record is from RNAcentral.